GUCACAGGGUUAAAAUCCGUCAAGGCAUAGGCUGACGAAAAGCAUUGCUGGACAGUAGCUACGGGGUGGCAGCCCGCGUGACAGUAGCGAAAAAUCGGCAGAGUGUGUGUGCGGCAGCACACAACAGCUAGCGAGGCAGUAUGCUGACGAAAGUUGGGGCUUGGACGAGGAUUGUUCAAGGCUUGACGAAACAGUGCUGGGAUGACACAAUGGGACAGUGGGGAAUUCGGCAGCACUGGUGAGAUCGGCAGCGUCGAGGAAUUCGGCAGCAGGGGCUGACGAUAACUUGGACAGCGGACAGUCCAAGGCAUGCGAGGCAGUUACGCUGGCAGCAUGUGUGCUGGCAAUGGGCAGUUGGCUUGUGAGAACAUGCCAAUGCAGUUGUGGCAGUUUUGGGAGCAGUUAUCGGCAGUUUGCGGCAGUUUCUUAUGUGGGGGAGAAGUUGGCUGAACAUGGGAUAAUGGGUGCUCCAGCUGUGCAGGAAGUUAGGGGUAGUUU
This 498-nucleotide long non-coding RNA is filed under the name Populus trichocarpa (black cottonwood). RNAcentral's name for it is "long non-coding RNA (PTRI_LNC002089)". The record is from RNAcentral. Lineage: Eukaryota; Viridiplantae; Streptophyta; Magnoliopsida; Malpighiales; Salicaceae.